RNAcentral lists this ribosomal RNA (497 nucleotides) under uncultured bacterium. RNAcentral describes it as "partial 16S ribosomal RNA". It matches the Rfam family "Bacterial small subunit ribosomal RNA", at positions 28 to 507 of the family's 1533-position model. The record is from RNAcentral.
GAUGAACGCUGGCGGCGUGCCUAAUACAUGCAAGUCGAGCGAACAGACGAGGAGCUUGCUCCUCUGACGUUAGCGGCGGACGGGUGAGUAACACGUGGAUAACCUACCUAUAAGACUGGGAUAACUUCGGGAAACCGGAGCUAAUACCGGAUAAUAUAUUGAACCGCAUGGUUCAAUAGUGAAAGACGGUUUUGCUGUCACUUAUAGAUGGAUCCGCGCCGCAUUAGCUAGUUGGUAAGGUAACGGCUUACCAAGGCAACGAUGCGUAGCCGACCUGAGAGGGUGGUCGGCCACACUGGAACUGGGACGCGGUCCAGACUCCUACGGGAGGCAGCAGUAGGGAAUCUUCCGCAAUGGGCGAAAGCUUGACGGAGCAACGCCGCGUGAGUGAUGAAGGUCUUCGGAUCGUAAAACUCUGUUAUUAGUGAAGAACAAAUGUGUAAGUAACUAUGCACGUCUUGACGGUACCUAAUCAGAAAGCCACGGCUAACUACGUG